Molecule: transfer RNA, 72 nt
Filed under: Chelonia mydas (Green sea turtle)
Lineage: Eukaryota; Metazoa; Chordata; Testudines; Cheloniidae
Rfam family: tRNA
About the family: Transfer RNA (tRNA) molecules are approximately 80 nucleotides in length. Their secondary structure includes four short double-helical elements and three loops (D, anti-codon, and T loops).
Source: Rfam by way of RNAcentral
GGCAGAAUGGUCUAGUGAGGAAGGCACUGGACUAAGACUCAGAAAACUUGGGUUCUGGUUCCAGUUCUGCUU